Molecule: ribosomal RNA, 491 nt
Filed under: uncultured bacterium
Lineage: Bacteria
Description: partial 16S ribosomal RNA
Rfam family: Bacterial small subunit ribosomal RNA
Source: RNAcentral
AGUGAACGCUGGCGGUAGGCCUAACACAUGCAAGUCGAACGGCAGCACAGUAAGAGCUUGCUCUUACGGGUGGCGAGUGGCGGACGGGUGAGGAAUACAUCGGAAUCUACUUUUUCGUGGGGGAUAACGUAGGGAAACUUACGCUAAUACCGCAUACGACCUAUGGGUGAAAGCAGGGGAUCUUCGGGCCUUGCGCGAUUGAAUGAGCCGAUGUCGGAUUAGCUAGUUGGCGGGGUAAAGGCCCACCAAGGCGACGAUCCGUAGCUGGUCUGAGAGGAUGAUCAGCCACACUGGAACUGAGACACGGUCCAGACUCCUACGGGAGGCAGCAGUGGGGAAUAUUGGACAAUGGGCGCAAGCCUGAUCCAGCCAUACCGCGUGGGUGAAGAAGGCCUUCGGGUUGUAAAGCCCUUUUGUUGGGAAAGAAAAGCAGCAGGUUAAUACCCCGCUGUUCUGACGGUACCCAAAGAAUAAGCACCGGCUAACUUCGU